Molecule: ribosomal RNA, 253 nt
Filed under: uncultured bacterium
Lineage: Bacteria
Description: partial 16S ribosomal RNA
Rfam family: Bacterial small subunit ribosomal RNA
Source: RNAcentral
UACAGAGGUCUCAAGCGUUGUUCGGAUUCAUUGGGCGUAAAGGGUGCGUAGGCGGCGCGGUAAGUCGGGUGUGAAAUCUCGGAGCUUAACUCCGAAACUGCAUUCGAUACUGCCGUGCUUGAGGACUGGAGAGGAGACUGGAAUUCACAGUGGAGCAGUGAAAUGCGUAGAUAUUGUGAGGAACACUAGUGGCGAAGGCGAAUCUCUGGACAGUUCCUGACGCUGAGGCACGAAGGCCAGGGGAGCAAACGGG